This 495-nucleotide ribosomal RNA is filed under the name uncultured bacterium. RNAcentral describes it as "bacterial SSU rRNA". It matches the Rfam family "Bacterial small subunit ribosomal RNA", at positions 15 to 518 of the family's 1533-position model. The record is from RNAcentral.
GAUUAUGGCUCAGGAUGAACGCUGGCGGCAUGCCUAACACAUGCAAGUCGAACGGAGCUAUUAUGGAAGCUUGCUUUGUUUAGCUUAGUGGCGGACGGGUGAGUAACGCGUGAGAAACCUGCCCUUGAGUGGGGAAUAACACCGAGAAAUCGGUGCUAAUACCGCAUAAUGUCACGGGAUCGCAUGUUCUUGUGACCAAAGGAUUUAUUCGCUUAAGGAUGGUCUCGCGUCCGAUUAGUUAGUUGGUGAGGUAACGGCCCACCAAGACCACGAUCGGUAGCCGAACUGAGAGGUUGAUCGGCCACAUUGGGACUGAGACACGGCCCAGACUCCUACGGGAGGCAGCAGUGGGGAAUAUUGGGCAAUGGGGGAAACCCUGACCCAGCAAUGCCGCGUGAAGGAUGAAGGUCUUCGGAUUGUAAACUUCUUUGAUUGGGGAAGGAUAAAUGACCCACCCAAAGAACAAGUCACGGCUAACUACGUGCCAGCCGCCGC